Molecule: transfer RNA, 63 nt
Filed under: Catomerus polymerus
Lineage: Eukaryota; Metazoa; Arthropoda; Thecostraca; Balanomorpha; Catophragmidae
Description: tRNA-Ala
Source: RNAcentral
AGAAUAGAAGUUUUUAAAUAUCUGACCUGCACUCAGAAGAUGACGGUAUUACGUCCUAUUUUA